AUCACUUUCUCCUCUUACUGAAAAAGAACCCUAGCAGUCUGCUAGAGAAAAAAAAACGCAGCUAGAGAGAGAGAGAAAGAGACGCCGAGAAGAACAGGGGUCUUCUUCCCCAGCUGCGUCAUGCCAGAGAGCACCACCGCAAGCUCUCCGCCGUGGGAGGAGCCGAGCCGGUCGACGAUAGAGCAAUAGCGCCACCGCCGAACUCUCCGCCUACACCACUGCGUGACCAUUGUCGCCAGAGAUGCCGAAGAUCAAAGGAGAUCGGAGGUCUCACCGUCGCAAAUGGGGACCAGGCCGCCGCCGAUCGUUAUCCAUCACCACCGAUCGAUGGUGCAGAUCGAAAGAAAAAACGGAGGUCGAUCGGCCAAGAAACCACCGCAGCACCCGAGACGCGCCGAAAGAUCUCCGACGAUUGGAGACAAAGAAAGAAGGAUAGAGAGGAAAAAGAAACUUCUUUCACAGUAAAGAAAAUAGGCUACAACAUAGCUUCCGGCAUCAAUAUAUUCCACAAAAUCUAGAAUGCAGUCUCAAAUAGUCAAAUACCAAAAAGUUAAUGUGCAGAAGCUGGUGAUUGAGGGGGAAAAACAUGGAUGAUUCCCAGGGGUUGGCAAGCUAUGGAGUCCGGAAAGACUCUUAACAUUCAAA
This is a long non-coding RNA of Ipomoea nil (Japanese morning glory), 645 nucleotides long. RefSeq lists it as uncharacterized. The record is from RefSeq and is a predicted model, not a curated record. The transcript is spliced from 2 exons. NCBI's taxonomy places the organism in Eukaryota, Viridiplantae, Streptophyta, Magnoliopsida, Solanales, Convolvulaceae.